AUGGCGUCGCACACUUGUGCCGCCAUCGCCAUCCCUGCUCAUCGACCACGGCGACGACCCGCCAAGCGCUGCACCACCGCUGCCAUUAAGCGUUGUACCACCGCAGCCUCAAUCCUCACGUGUCGCUCCUUCGAGCUCAAAGCCAUCCCUUCGGGCAAGCUCUGCCCCGCCGCGCGCCGCUCCUUCAAGCUCACCACCAUCCCGUUGGCCAGGACCUGUCUCGGCUGCUGUAGCGGAUGGCUCGCCCUCUCCAUUUGCAUCGACGGCAUCCGUAGCCUGCUCAACCUCUUCCACCCCAUCACGGCCGUUGAGAUCCUCCUACCCCUGCUUGUCUAUGACAGUCGCCUUGUCUCCAAGAUCGUCUUUGCUCCCAACCCUGCCACUGACGACUUUGUGGCCACUGUGAUCUGUGACAUUGAUAGGGUUGCCUACAUCACCACAGGGGCCAGGAGGUGGUCCGUCCUCGACCCCAUCCGCCUCACUGUUAGAGACCAGCUCAUCGACCUCCUCUACCACGAAAAUGGUAGGGUCUACUUCCUCACUCGGUUUGGAGACGUUCACGUGCUCUUCCUACCGCAGCGCCACCACCCGGAACCUAUCAUCCUCGAGGUCGACACAUCAGCAUAUCCUGCAGUGCAUAAUAGGAAAAUCAUCCAGAUGCAUGGGACAAGACCGGAUUUAAGUGCGCCGGCCACCAUUAAGGCAUUGUUGUCAUCUAUGGGAAGCAACCUAUCGUAA
RNAcentral lists this ribosomal RNA (738 nucleotides) under Triticum aestivum (bread wheat). RNAcentral's name for it is "partial small subunit ribosomal RNA". The record is from RNAcentral. Lineage: Eukaryota; Viridiplantae; Streptophyta; Magnoliopsida; Poales; Poaceae.